GGUUAAGCGACUAAGCGUACACGGUGGAUGCCCUGGCAGUCAGAGGCGAUGAAGGGCGUGCUAAUCUGCGAUAAGCGCCGGUAAGGUGAUAUGAACCGUUAUAACCGGCGAUACCCGAAUGGGGAAACCCAGUGUGAUUCGUCACACUAUCAUUAACUGAAUCCAUAGGUUAAUGAGGCGAACCGGGGGAACUGAAACAUCUAAGUACCCCGAGGAAAAGAAAUCAACCGAGAUUCCCCCAGUAGCGGCGAGCGAACGGGGAGGAGCCCAGAGCCUGAAUCAGCAUGUGUGUUAGUGGAAGCGUCUGGAAAGGCGCGCGAUACAGGGUGACAGCCCCGUACACAAAAGCGCAUGUGCUGUGAGCUCGAUGAGUAGGGCGGGACACGUGGUAUCCUGUCUGAAUAUGGGGGGACCAUCCUCCAAGGCUAAAUACUCCUGACUGACCGAUAGUGAACCAGUACCGUGAGGGAAAGGCGAAAAGAACCCCGGCGAGGGGAGUGAAAAAGAACCUGAAACCGUGUACGUACAAGCAGUGGGAGCCCCACCACUAAGCCAGUGGUGAACUCCACAUACGCAUCCUUUGCUGAGGAUACGGUUAACGGAGCGCAAGCGACGUUCAACCUCAAAAGAAGCAGAGGGGGCUUAGUGGUGGGGUGACUGCGUACCUUUUGUAUAAUGGGUCAGCGACUUAUAUUCUGUAGCAAGGUUAACCG
Molecule: ribosomal RNA, 713 nt
Filed under: Salmonella enterica
Lineage: Bacteria; Pseudomonadati; Pseudomonadota; Gammaproteobacteria; Enterobacterales; Enterobacteriaceae
Description: partial 23S ribosomal RNA
Rfam family: Bacterial large subunit ribosomal RNA
Source: RNAcentral